RNAcentral lists this ribosomal RNA (636 nucleotides) under uncultured Lachnospiraceae bacterium. Its description in RNAcentral is "bacterial SSU rRNA". It matches the Rfam family "Bacterial small subunit ribosomal RNA", at positions 897 to 1533 of the family's 1533-position model. The record is from RNAcentral. Lineage: Bacteria; Bacillati; Bacillota; Clostridia; Lachnospirales; Lachnospiraceae.
AAACUCAAAUGAAUUGACGGGGACCCGCACAAGCGGUGGAGCAUGUGGUUUAAUUCGAAGCAACGCGAAGAACCUUACCAAGUCUUGACAUCGGAAUGACCGGUCCGUAACGGGGCCUUCCCUACGGGGCAUUCCAGACAGGUGGUGCAUGGUUGUCGUCAGCUCGUGUCGUGAGAUGUUGGGUUAAGUCCCGCAACGAGCGCAACCCUUAUCCUUAGUAGCCAGCAGUUCGGCUGGGCACUCUGGGGAGACUGCCAGGGAUAACCUGGAGGAAGGUGGGGAUGACGUCAAAUCAUCAUGCCCCUUAUGAUUUGGGCUACACACGUGCUACAAUGGCGUAAACAAAGGGAAGCGAAGGAGUGAUCCGGAGCAAAUCUCAAAAAUAACGUCUCAGUUCGGAUUGUAGUCUGCAACUCGACUACAUGAAGCUGGAAUCGCUAGUAAUCGCGGAUCAGAAUGCCGCGGUGAAUACGUUCCCGGGUCUUGUACACACCGCCCGUCACACCAUGGGAGUUGGUAACGCCCGAAGUCAGUGACCCAACCGUAAGGAGGGAGCUGCCGAAGGCGGGACUGAUAACUGGGGUGAAGUCGUAACAAGGUAGCCGUAUCGGAAGGUGCGGCUGGAUCACCUCCUUU